GAUGUUUUCAAAGAACUAGCUUUUGGUUUCAUUGUUUGCUCUACUAUUUUCUAUUCUCUAUUUCAUUAAGUCCUGCUCCAAUCUUUUUUGUUGCCUUCCUUGCUUCAGGUUUAGUUUGCUCUUCUUUUUCAAGUGUCUUAAGGUGAAAGGUUUAGUUUAUUGUUUUGAGAUCUUUCUUCUUUUGUAAUGUACACAUUUGCACCUAUAAAUUUUCCUCGAAGCACUACUUUAGCUGCAUCACAUGAGUUUUGAUAUUUUGUAUCUUCAUUCUCAUUCAUCUAAAAGUAUUUCCUAAUUUUUCUUUUGAUUACUUUUUUGACACAUUGGUUAGGUAGGAGUGUGUUAUUUAAUUUCUACCUAUUUGUGAGUUUCUCAAAUUUCUUUCUGUUGUUGAUUUCUAAUUUCAUUUCAUUGUGGUCAGAAGACAUACUUUGUAUUACUUCUAUCCUGUUAAAUUUAUCGAGGUUUGUUUUAUGGCCUAGCAUAUGCCUAUCCUGGAGGAUGCACUUGAGAAGAAUGUAUAUUCUGCUGUUAUUGAGGAGGUACGAGAGCAAAACGUUGGACUCCCUGACCUCAACAGUUGGGCCUCGAGCUGGAACUGAGCACUAAGGGGAAGCAGCACCGCCCUGUGGCCAGCGUAGAGGCUGCAGCAGAAACGAGCCCAGAGUCCCAGGAAGAAGAUAAACCUGGAGGAGCUGAGACCCGGAGGUCCGAUGCGCCUUCUCCACAGGGACAGUGUCUCUCCACUUCAAAAUUUGAAAGCAUUAGGUAUUCCUGUGCCCAGACCUGUCUUUUGUAGCUGUGGCCCCAGGGAUCUGGCCACAACAAAUAGAAACCAGAAGACAAUCUCCAGGAAGAGGCAAGGAUGAUUCAGCAUUAAUCUCCUAAUGUAGAUCUCCACUGGAAGAGAUUAGAGAAAAGCCAUUUGAUAAUAAUCCUGUGAAUGCAGAAAAGGCAUUUGAUGAACUCAAAUACUCACUCGAUAUUUAUCUACCUAUCUUAUUAUACUAGAAAUAGAGGGGAAUCUGCCUAAUCUAAUGAAGAAUACCAACCAAAAACCUCUAGCACACACCACAUGUAACAGAAAGUAACUUUCUCUUUAGAGAGAAAAAGACAAGAACAACCAGUAAGUAUCAACACUUCCACUGGGUUUUGUACUGCAGGUCCUUGCCAGCACAGUAAAACAGGAAAAGAGAAAAAAAAGGUACAAGGGCUGGAAAAAGAAAAACAGAAUUAUCAUUAUUCUCAGUCAAUACGAUUAUCUUCAUAGAAGAUCCUAAAGGAUCCAGAACUGCGCUGUCCCAUAUGGUAGGCACCGGCCACAUGUGGCUAUUGGGCACUUGAAGUGUGGCCAGUCUGAAUUGAGAUGCACUGUGGUAUAAAAUACAUGCUGGAUUUGAAGAUAUGUAUAAAAAAUUAAAAGGUUAUUUCCUGUAUUAAAUAUCAGUGUGAAUUAUUGCCAGAAAUGGACGUGUCAGCUAGACCAUAAUCAAUGAAACUGCAUGGGCCUCUCCAACCCCACAUUUACAAUCAGGGACAAGUCCAUGCUUUCACUUCAGACGUCUUGGAAACUCCAUGAAUCUGUGGAGGCUGAAAACAAAAGUUGACCUUCCUCGUGGUUCUUUAACCAGUGAAAGCUGCCCAAGACCCUUCCAGAGUGGAGCAAAGUCCAGAAGAUGAAUGCCUCCUACCACCUAGGAGCAGGGAAACACUCUCUCCCGAGUUACAACCUGGAAAGAGCUCAAAGUGUUCGGAGCGGCUCCUUUCCUGGCCCUUCCCUCAGCUGCUGGCUAAGUUGGAGUGGUGUAGCUGUGACCACAGGGUCGGAACUUUGUAUCUUCCCGGGUCUCUAACUUCCCAUUACAGUGAAAUAGAGCAAGAAUGCCAGAGUACUGAAACGAAUGAAUGUGUGGGUGAAUCUCACAAGCAUGCUAAGAAGCGAGCCACAGGGGCUGGCCCCGUGGCCGAGUGGUUAAGUUCGCGCGCUCACCUGCAGGCGGCCCAGUGUUUCGUUAGUUCG
Equus caballus (horse) is the source of this 2020-nucleotide long non-coding RNA. RefSeq lists it as uncharacterized. The record is from RefSeq and is a predicted model, not a curated record. Lineage: Eukaryota; Metazoa; Chordata; Mammalia; Perissodactyla; Equidae.